Molecule: ribosomal RNA, 504 nt
Filed under: uncultured bacterium
Lineage: Bacteria
Description: partial 16S ribosomal RNA
Rfam family: Bacterial small subunit ribosomal RNA
Source: RNAcentral
AUUGAACGCUGGCGGCAGGCCUAACACAUGCAAGUCGAACGGUAGCACAGAGAGCUUGCUCUUGGGUGACGAGUGGCGGACGGGUGAGUAAUGUCUGGGAAACUGCCUGAUGGAGGGGGAUAACUACUGGAAACGGUAGCUAAUACCGCAUAACGUCGCAAGACCAAAGAGGGGGACCUUCGGGCCUCUUGCCAUCAGAUGUGCCCAGAUGGGAUUAGCUAGUAGGUGGGGUAACGGCUCACCUAGGCGACGAUCCCUAGCUGGUCUGAGAGGAUGCCCAGCCACACUGGAACUGAGACACGGUCCAGACUCCUACGGGAGGCAGCAGUGGGGAAUAUUGCACAAUGGGCGCAAGCCUGAUGCAGCCAUGCCGCGUGUAUGAAGAAGGCCUUCGGGUUGUAAAGUACUUUCAGCGAGGAGGAAGGCGAUACGGUAAAUAACCGUGUCGAUUGACGUUACUCGCAGAAGAAGCACCGGCUAACUCCGUGCCAGCAGCCGCCGUAA